This 588-nucleotide ribosomal RNA is filed under the name uncultured bacterium. RNAcentral's name for it is "partial 16S ribosomal RNA". It matches the Rfam family "Bacterial small subunit ribosomal RNA", at positions 355 to 1375 of the family's 1533-position model. The record is from RNAcentral.
UGGGGAAUUUUGGACAAUGGGCGAAAGCCUGAUCCAGCAAUGCCGCGUGUGUGAAGAAGGCCUUCGGGUUGUAAAGCACUUUUGUCCGGAAAGAAAUCCUUGGCUCUAAUACAGUCGGGGGAUGACGGUACCGGAAGAAUAAGCACCGGCUAACUACGUGCCAGCAGCCGCGGUAAUACGUAGGGUGCAAGCGUUAAUCGGAAUUACUGGGCGUAAAGCGUGCGCAGGCGGUUUGCUAAGACCGAUGUGAAAUCCCCGGGCUCAACCUGGGAACUGCAUUGGUGACUGGCAGGCUAGAGUAUGGCAGAGGGGGGUAGAAUUCCACGUGUAGCAGUGAAAUGCGUAGAGAUGUUGGAGGAAUACCGAUGGCGAAGGCAGCCCCCUGGGCCAAUACUGACGCUCAUGCACGAAAGCGUGGGGAGCAAACAGGAUUAGAUACCCUGGUAAUCCACGCCCUAAACGAUGUCAACUAGUUGUUGGGGAUUCAUUUCCUUAGUAACGUAGCUAACGCGUGAAGUUGACCGCCUGGGGAAGUACGGUCGUCAAGAUUAAAACUCAAAUGAAUUGACGGGGUCAUAGCUGUUUCCU